This 65-nucleotide microRNA precursor is filed under the name Panagrellus redivivus. RNAcentral's name for it is "microRNA prd-mir-7885 precursor". Lineage: Eukaryota; Metazoa; Nematoda; Chromadorea; Rhabditida; Panagrolaimidae. The record is from miRBase by way of RNAcentral.
AAUAUCUGAAACGUUGGUGUGGCGUCAAGAUACACAAUAUCGCCAAGCCGCCUUUCAGGUAUACC